This 488-nucleotide ribosomal RNA is filed under the name uncultured bacterium. RNAcentral's name for it is "partial 16S ribosomal RNA". It matches the Rfam family "Bacterial small subunit ribosomal RNA", at positions 28 to 507 of the family's 1533-position model. The record is from RNAcentral.
GACGAACGCUGGCGGCGUGCUUAACACAUGCAAGUCGAACGGAAAGGCCCUGCUUUUGUGGGGUGCUCGAGUGGCGAACGGGUGAGUAACACGUGAGUAACCUGCCCUUGACUUUGGGAUAACUUCAGGAAACUGGGGCUAAUACCGGAUAGGAGCUCCUGCUGCAUGGUGGGGGUUGGAAAGUUUCGGCGGUUGGGGAUGGACUCGCGGCUUAUCAGCUUGUUGGUGGGGUAGUGGCUUACCAAGGCGAUGACGGGUAGCCGGCCUGAGAGGGUGACCGGGCACACUGGAACUGAGACAGGGUCCAGAAGGGUAAGGGAGGGAGCAGUGGGGAAUAUGGGACAAUGGGCGCAAGCCUGAUCCAGCCAUACCGCGUGGGUGAAGAAGGGCUUCGGGUUGUAAAGCCCUUUUGUUGGGAAAGAAAAGCAGCAGGUUAAUACCCAGCUGUGCUGACGGUACCCAAAGAAUAAGCACCGGCUAAUUUCGUG